This 548-nucleotide long non-coding RNA is filed under the name Pan troglodytes (chimpanzee). RNAcentral's name for it is "lincRNA". The record is from RNAcentral. Lineage: Eukaryota; Metazoa; Chordata; Mammalia; Primates; Hominidae.
AGGAAGCCUCCUAUCAGACUCUCUGCCUGGCCUGAGAUAUCCAGUUAACACCUGCAAUUCAGAAUACCCUCUCACCCAGCAAUAAAGCAUCCAGCCUUUGCAUCUGUAACAACCUCCUCUGUAAUUUGUGCAUUCUAUGGAUGCUCCAAAUCAUAAUACAAUCCAUCCAUGACUUCAGACAGAUGAAAACAGUUCCUUCUAAAAAAAGAGGCUAAUGUUUUUAAAAGACAGUAAGAGAAGAAUGUCAGCUCCCCAUGGCUGCAGUAGAAAGUGCUGGAUGAGAGGAGCAUCUCCAGAGCAUGGAAGACAAAGCAGCUUUAUCCUCACCUUUUCCACCUCAAUUUCCAUUUUCCUCCAAGGCAAAACUCCCACUCCUGGCAGAUUAAAUGAAAUGAAGACACUGAGCUCUGCAAGUACACUGCUUUUUGAAUCCCAGAGUGAACUUGCUUGUCAAAUGCCUCUUUAAAAAGCAAGUGAAGAUAAUUGCAAGUCAGCUGGAAGUGCUGCCAAGAUAUGACCUCCAGGAAGGCCCAGAAGACAAGUGAUAU